RNAcentral lists this ribosomal RNA (253 nucleotides) under uncultured bacterium. RNAcentral's name for it is "partial 16S ribosomal RNA". It matches the Rfam family "Bacterial small subunit ribosomal RNA", at positions 524 to 776 of the family's 1533-position model. The record is from RNAcentral.
UACAGAGGUCCCAAGCGUUGUUCGGAUUCACUGGGCGUAAAGGGUGCGUAUGCGGUCGUGUAAGUCUGACGUGAAAUCUUCAAGCUCAACUUGGAAACUGCGUCGGAUACUAUUCGGCUAGAGGAAUGGAGGGGAGACUGGAAUACUUGGUGUAGCAGUGAAAUGCGUAGAUAUCAAGUGGAACACCAGUGGCGAAGGCGAGUCUCUGGACAUUUCCUGACGCUGAGGCACGAAAGCCAGGGGAGCAAACGGG